RNAcentral lists this ribosomal RNA (403 nucleotides) under uncultured Bacillota bacterium. RNAcentral describes it as "bacterial SSU rRNA". It matches the Rfam family "Bacterial small subunit ribosomal RNA", at positions 337 to 752 of the family's 1533-position model. The record is from RNAcentral. Lineage: Bacteria; Bacillati; Bacillota.
UCCUACGGGAUCCAGCAGUAGGCAAUAGUGGGCAAUGUUCGGCAGUGGGAGGCAGCGAGACCCCGUGACCGAUGAAGACGUAAGAGUCCUUUAGCUUUGUCAAUUUGGAUGAAGGUGUUCGAAAUUGACGGUACCCAAGGAGCAAGCCCCGGCUAACUACGUGCCAGCAGCCGCGGUAAUACGUAGGGGGCGAGCGUUGUCCGGAAUUACUGGGCGUAAAGGGUGCGUAGGCGGCCCUUUAAGUCAGAUGUGAAAGGCCACGGCUUAACCGUGGGAUUGCAUUUGAAACUGGAGGUCUUGAGUGUCGGAGAGGAAAGUGGAAUUCNCAGUGUAGCGGUGAAAUGCGUAGAUAUUAGAGAACACCAGUGCGAAGCGACUCUCUGGACGAUAACUGACGCUGAGC